GUAGGUGGCAAGCGUUGUCCGGAAUUAUUGGGCGUAAAGCGCGCGCAGGCGGUUCUUUAAGUCUGAUGUGAAAGCCCACGGCUCAACCGUGGAGGGUCAUUGGAAACUGGAGAACUUGAGUACAGAAGAGGAAAGCGGAAUUCCACGUGUAGCGGUGAAAUGCGUAGAGAUGUGGAGGAACACCAGUGGCGAAGGCGGCUUUCUGGUCUGUAACUGACGCUGAGGCGCGAAAGCGUGGGGAACAAACAGGGAUUAGAUACCCUGGUAGUCCACGCCGUAAACGAUAAGUGCUAAGUGUUAGGGGGUUUCCCGCCCCUUAGUGCUGCAGCUAACGCAUUAAGCACUCCGCCUGGGGAGUACGGCCGCAAGGCUA
Molecule: ribosomal RNA, 373 nt
Filed under: uncultured organism
Description: partial 16S ribosomal RNA
Rfam family: Bacterial small subunit ribosomal RNA
Source: RNAcentral